UAGGAGAGCGGGAGAGGCAGACGGUAUUCUGCGGGUAGGGGUAAAAUCCUUUGAUCCAUAGAAGACCACCAGUGGCGAAGGCGGUCCGCCAGAACGCGCUCGACGGUGAGGGAUGAAAGCUGGGGGAGCGAACCGGAUUAGAUACCCGGGUAGUCCCAGCUGUAAACGAUG
RNAcentral lists this ribosomal RNA (171 nucleotides) under uncultured archaeon. Its description in RNAcentral is "partial 16S ribosomal RNA". It matches the Rfam family "Archaeal small subunit ribosomal RNA", at positions 593 to 762 of the family's 1478-position model. The record is from RNAcentral.